This 722-nucleotide ribosomal RNA is filed under the name Fischerella sp. KSFS1. Its description in RNAcentral is "partial 16S ribosomal RNA". Lineage: Bacteria; Bacillati; Cyanobacteriota; Cyanophyceae; Nostocales; Hapalosiphonaceae. The record is from RNAcentral.
UCUGCUCAGGAUGAACGCUGGCGGUAUGCAUAACACAUGCAAGUCGAACGGAAACCUUCGGGGUUGAGUGGCGGACGGGUGAGUAACGCGUGAGAAUCUGSCAWCAGGKUCGGGACAACAUCKGGAAACCGAUGCUAAUACCGAAWGUKCUCWACAGUAAAARAUUWAUCKCCUKUWGRWGAGSUCGSGKCMGAAUURSCUAGUUGGKGGGGUWAGAGCCUUACMAAGGCGAWGAUYMGUAGCUGGUCUGAGAGGRCAACCAGCCACACUGGGACUGAGRCACGGCCCAGAMUCCUACGGGAGGCAGSMGUGAGGAAUUUUCCMCMAUKGGCGAAAGCCUGAUGGAGCAAUACCGCUUGAGGGAAGAAGGCUUAUGGGUCGUAACCCUCUUUUCUCAAGGAAUAACACUGAAGGUACUUGAGGAAUCAGCAUCGGCUAACUCCGUGCCAGCAGCCGCGGUAAUACGGAGGAUGCAAGCGUUAUCCGGAAUGAUUGGGCGUAAAGCGUCCGUAGGUGGUUUAGUAAGUCUGCUGUUAAAGAGUCUGGCUUAACCAGAUAAAAGCAUUGGAAACUACUAGGCUUGAGUGCAAUAAGGGUAGAGGGAAUUCAGAGAGUAGCGGUGAAAUGCGUAGAUAUUCUUAAGAACACCGGAGGCGAAAGCGCUCUACUGGGUUGCAACUGACACUGAUGGACGAAAGCUAGGGGAGCGAAUGGGAUUAGAU